GUGCUCGCUUUAGCAACACAUAUAUUAAAAUUGGAACAAUACAGAGAAGAUUACCAUGGCCCCUGUGCAAGGAUGACAUGCAAAUUCAUGAAGCAUUACAUAUUUUU
This is a small nuclear RNA of Heterocephalus glaber (naked mole-rat), 107 nucleotides long. Lineage: Eukaryota; Metazoa; Chordata; Mammalia; Rodentia; Bathyergidae. The record is from Ensembl.